UACGGAGGGUGCGAGCGUUGUCCGGAAUCACUGGGCGUAAAGCGCGUGUAGGCGGCAGACCAAGUCGGCGGUGAAAGCGCCCGGCUCAACUGGGCGAGGUCCGUGGAAACUGGUCAGCUGGAGGACGGUAGAGGCGAGUGGAAUUCCCGGUGUAGUGGUGAAAUGCGUAGAGAUCGGGAGGAACACCUGUGGCGAAGGCGGCUCGCUGGGCCGGUCCUGACGCUGAGACGCGAAGGCGUGGGGAGCGAACGGG
This 253-nucleotide ribosomal RNA is filed under the name uncultured bacterium. Its description in RNAcentral is "partial 16S ribosomal RNA". It matches the Rfam family "Bacterial small subunit ribosomal RNA", at positions 524 to 776 of the family's 1533-position model. The record is from RNAcentral.